This 71-nucleotide transfer RNA is filed under the name Virgisporangium aliadipatigenens. RNAcentral's name for it is "tRNA-Thr". The record is from RNAcentral. Lineage: Bacteria; Bacillati; Actinomycetota; Actinomycetes; Micromonosporales; Micromonosporaceae.
GACCCGCUCGACGAGUGGACGUGCCGGCCUCGUGGGCCGCCCGGUGACGUUCGACAAGUCGGCGGGUCGCC